RNAcentral lists this ribosomal RNA (426 nucleotides) under uncultured bacterium. RNAcentral's name for it is "bacterial SSU rRNA". It matches the Rfam family "Bacterial small subunit ribosomal RNA", at positions 355 to 773 of the family's 1533-position model. The record is from RNAcentral.
UGGGGAAUUUUGGACAAUGGGGGCAACCCUGAUCCAGCCAUGCCGCGUGAGUGAAGAAGGCCUUCGGGUUGUAAAGCUCUUUCGGCGGGGACGAAACGGUUCAUGCCAACACCAUGAACUAAUGACAGUACUACCAGAAGAAGCACCGGCUAACUACGUGCCAGCAGCCGCGGUAAUACGUAGGGUGCAGGCGUUAAUCGGAAUUACUGGGCGUAAAGCGUGCGCAGGCGGCUCCUUAAGUCAGAUGUGAAAUCCCCGGGCUUAACCUGGGAACUGCGUUUGAAACUGAGGGGCUCGAGUGUGGAAGAGGGGGGUGGAAUUCCAGGUGUAGCAGUGAAAUGCGUAGAGAUCUGGAGGAACACCGAUGGCGAAGGCAGCCCCCUGGGCUAACACUGACGCUCAUGCACGAAAGCGUGGGGAGCAAAC